RNAcentral lists this ribosomal RNA (497 nucleotides) under uncultured bacterium. Its description in RNAcentral is "partial 16S ribosomal RNA". It matches the Rfam family "Bacterial small subunit ribosomal RNA", at positions 28 to 507 of the family's 1533-position model. The record is from RNAcentral.
GAUGAACGCUGGCGGCGUGCCUAAUACAUGCAAGUCGAGCGAACGGACGAGAAGCUUGCUUCUCUGAUGUUAGCGGCGGACGGGUGAGUAACACGUGGAUAACCUACCUAUAAGACUGGGAUAACUUCGGGAAACCGGAGCUAAUACCGGAUAAUAUUUUGAACCGCAUGGUUCAAAAGUGAAAGACGGUCUUGCUGUCACUUAUAGAUGGAUCCGCGCUGCAUUAGCUAGUUGGUAAGGUAACGGCUUACCAAGGCAACGAUGCAUAGCCGACCUGAGAGGGUGAUCGGCCACACUGGAACUGAGACACGGUCCAGACUCCUACGGGAGGCAGCAGUAGGGAAUCGUCCGCAAUGGGCGAAAGCCUGACGGAGCAACGCCGCGUGAGUGAUGAAGGUCUUCGGAUCGUAAAACUCUGUUAUUAGGGAAGAAAAUAUGUGUAAGUAACUGUGCACAUCUUGACGGUACCUAAUCAGAAAGCCACGACUAACUACGUG